UACAGAGGUCCCGAGCGUUGUUCGGAAUUAUUGGGCGUAAAGGGCGCGUAGGCGGUGCGGUAAGUCACCUGUGAAAUCUCCUGGCUCAACUGGGAGCUUGCAGGCGAAACUGCCGUGCUGGAGUGUGGGAGAGGUGCGUGGAAUUCCUGGUGUAGCGGUGAAAUGCGUAGAUAUCAGGAGGAACACCUGUGGCGAAAGCGGCGCACUGGACCACAACUGACGCUGAGGCGCGAAAGCUAGGGGAGCAAACAGG
RNAcentral lists this ribosomal RNA (253 nucleotides) under uncultured bacterium. Its description in RNAcentral is "partial 16S ribosomal RNA". It matches the Rfam family "Bacterial small subunit ribosomal RNA", at positions 524 to 776 of the family's 1533-position model. The record is from RNAcentral.